Molecule: RNA transcript, 6589 nt
Organism: Betta splendens (Siamese fighting fish)
Lineage: Eukaryota; Metazoa; Chordata; Actinopteri; Anabantiformes; Osphronemidae
Exons: 4
Source: RefSeq, a predicted model, not a curated record
CGUGCGUGCGUGCGUGCGUGCGUGCGUGCGUGCGUGUGUGUGUGUGCGUGGGGGGGUCCACAACAAAGUGCUGCAACGGGAACGACGAGACGAGAGACAGAGGAGAGUGUUUUCACCAGAACCCACAUUGGAUCCAGCACCUUUACGUGAUGAUAAAAGUUGGUCUGGGGAGAAAGCGGAGCCGUCGCAGCCUGAUCCUCAUCUUCAUCAUCAUCAUCUUGUCUCAAGUCUUGCAUCAUUUGCUGUCACCACAUAAUGUUGCAGAGCGUCAAAUUCACUAAUGAAAUUCCCACUUUUAUUUUGUAGUCUGGGACGGGAGCGUCUUUUCCUUCUGGAGCAUUGUGCUCAGCUCUAAAUGUGUCUCUUCUUUGUAGAAUCGAGCAUUGAAGCCCAAGAUAAAAUGAUACAGACAUAGAUUUUUUUUAAUAAACAUAAUUCAAUUUCAGAUCAUGGUUCUGUUCUCAGCUACUGAUCCUGUGAAGUCCCACCCGGUGUCCAGAGCCUGUUUCUACUGUAGCACACUGACAGAACCGAGCUUGAGGCUCGGACCCGAGUGUGCUGAGCAGGUACAAGCUUCCCCGCGGUGCGUCUGCGUGUCUGCCCCGUCGCUGAUCAUCAGGAGAACAACAGCAGCACACGUUCCCUCACACCCACUCCAUCAUCAGAGAUCCAGAGACCUCCAUCAUGUGGAAGCAGUUCUUAUUGCAGCUGAACAUUGGUUCAGUUUCAGUGCUUUACUUCCUGCCUCCAGCACCAUCACAUCACACACAAACUCAGCUGAAGCGUCCUUCAGGCCGAGGUCAAAGGUCGGUCCAGAAGCCUCCGUCCCGGUGAAGGUGCAGUGGUAAAGUGAAGCGGCGCCGGCUGCUCGUACGUCCAGUUAAUCGUGCAGACGCCGUGUGAAGCGCAGACAUUUGCUCCACGCAGCGAGAUGUGAAGUCAAUGAUGGGUUGUGUAAUAAUGGAAGCAUAUUUCUGCCUCAUUGAAGCUGCCAAAGCUCAGCUCACAGCUUCUCUCAGCUUCCACGCUCUGUGCCCGAUCCGCAUGGCAGCAUUUCAUUGGUCGGCAGGCGCCAACCUACGCGUGCGUCUGAGGGCGACGCCCGACAUGGAGGUCAAAGACAGACCAGGCUCCUGCACGAUGUGAAGGAUGAAAACAUGCUCUUUAUGCAGACGGCGCUGGAGGAGCUUGAGGCUUCGGACCAGAGCGGCCUCAGUGCGUGGGAAGCCGGGCCGAGCGGCACCGCUGGCUAGGCGACGCGGUCCCUCCUGGACCCGGACCCGAGGGACGCGGCUUCUGGUUCUGCUGCAGAACAGAGACUCUGAUGAAGUCACAUCCUGCUUUUUAGAUGUGUUUUACUGCAGCAGCUGAAGCACAAAGCGCUCAGGACAGUAACACAGACGCGGCCUUGGGAGCCGCAAAGAGAAGAAAGCGCCUCAGAAACGAGGAGAGUGCGAUCGAGCAGAGAAGCGCAUUCUCGCAACAUGAGUCACUUUCGAGUGAAAGCUUUGUAAUUUAAGCCACACACGGCGAAGGACGACGAGCGAUGGAUGGAACCGCGGCGCAGAUGCCGUCACCGGCUCCAGCUACCGAACCAGAGGUGGUCCAGUAUGUGGUGGACCCGGUUCCACCUCAUAGGUGACAGAACGUGGCCCUUCAGCCCUUUGUUUCCACUGUGGAAAUAAGACCCCGCUUCACACAGACACGAGCGGCGGCGGCGCUUCCUCUCAGACGCUGGACUAAAGAUGGCGGCGGCGCUUCCUCUCAGACGCUGGACUAAAGAUGGCGGCGGCGCUUCCUCUCAGACGCUGGACUAAAGAUGGCGGCGGCGCUUCCUCUCAGACGCUGGACUAAAGAUGGCGGCGGCGCUUCCUCUCAGACGCUGGACUAAAGAUGGCGGCGGCGCUUCCUCUCAGACGCUGGACUAAAGAUGGCGGCGGCGCUUCCUCUCAGACGCUGGACUAAAGAUGGCGGCGGCACUUUCCUCUCAGACGCUGGACUAAAGAUGGCGGCGGCGCUUCCUCUCAGACGCUGGACUAAAGAUGGCGGUGGGCGCUUCCUCUCAGACGCUGGACUAAAGAUGGCGGCGGCUUCGUGCAGCCGGUUGCUGGCUGCUGCCUCGAAGGCAGGCUCCACCAGCUCCUCACGGAUGGAGGCACUAGUGAGGAUCUGGGACCGCGUGGGAACAAAAACACAGACACGUGUCGUGAGUCACCGCCGUGUGUCAUAGUGGAGGAUGGCAUCAGCCGCUCACACAGGACACAGAUCCAGUCCCAACAAACAGAACCGCACCAGGUGAGUGACCUGGAGGAGGACCUUAUCCGAUCUGAGACUGAAACAACUUCCACAAACAAACUUCACUCAAGUGUUUGUACCAUUUGUUGCAACAAAAUGGUGGCGCAGCUGACGCCGUGCUGUGGGUCGGCCCGUCAAAACCAGUGUUGGGCUCACGCUAUUGUUCAGCUGAAACAUUAAUACCCACAGGAUGCAACAGAACCUCAUUCCUGGAUCACACACUGCUGUGGAGGAAGAUGGAGGAGGAAGAGCUGAGUUCUGACCUGCUUUCUACUGAGGGAAGUGACACUUCCUGUGUGACCAGCGCCAAAAGCUUUGAUCUGCUGGAUGGACGGGCGGAGGGGGCGGGGCUACGCUCCCAGCCUCAGCCUCAGCCUCAGCCUCAGCCUCAGCCUCAGCCUCAGCCUCAGCCUCAGCCUUAUCCUCAGCCUCAGCCUUAUCCUUAUCCUCAGCCUCAUCCUCAUCCUCAACCUCAUCCUCAGCCUUAGCCUUAUCCUUAUCCUCAGCCUUAGCCUUAGCCUCAGCCUUAGCCUUAGCCUUAGCCUCAGCCUUAGCCUUAGCCUCAGCCUUAGCCUUAUCCUCAACCUCAACCUCAGCCUUAGCCUUAGCCUCAGCCUUAGCCUUAGCCUCAGCCUUAGCCUUAGCCUCAGCCUCAGCCUCAGCCUCAUCCUCAGCCUCAGCCUUAUCCUCAGGCUUAGCCUCAGCCUCAGCCUUAGCCUCAGCCUCAGCCUCAGCCUCAGCCUCAGCCUCAACCUCAGCCUCAGCCUUAUCCUUAUCCUCAGCCUUAUCCUCAUCCUCAUCCUCAGCCUCAUCCUCAGCCUCAGCCUUAUCCUCAGCCUUAUCCUCAGCGUUAUCCUCAGCCUUAUCCUUAGCCUCAGCCUCGGCCUCGGCCUCAGCCUUAUCCUCAGGCUUAGCCUCAGCCUCAGCCUCAGCUUCAGCCUUAUUCUCAGCCUCAGCGUUAUACUGAGCCUCAGCCUUAGCCUCAGCCUCAGCUUCAGCCUCAGCGUUAUCCUUAACCUCAGCCUUAGCCUUAGCCUUAGCCUCAGCCUCAGCCUCAGCCUUAGCCUUAGCCUCAGCCUCAGCCUUAGCCUCAGCCUCAGCCUCAGCCUCAGCUUCAGGCUCAGUCUUAUCCUUAGCCUCAGCCUCAGCCUCAGCCUUAGCCUUAUCCUCAUCCUCAGCCUUAGCCUUAGCCUUAUCCUCAGCCUUAGCCUUAGCCUCAGCCUCAGCCUCAGCCUCAGCCUCAGCUUCAGGCUCAGUCUUAUCCUUAGCCUCAGCCUCAGCCUCAGCCUCAACCUCAACCUCAGCCUCAGCCUCAGCCUUAGCCUUAUCCUCAGCCUCAGCCUCAGCCUCAGCCUUAUCCUCAGCCUCAGCCUCAUCCUCAGCCUCAGCCUUAUCCUUAUCCUCAGCCUCAUCUUCAUCCUCAACCUCAACCUCAGCCGUAGCCUUAGCCUUAGCCUUAUCCUCAGCCUUAGCCUUAGCCUCAGCCUCAGCCUUAGCCUUAGCCUUAGCCUUAGCCUUAGCCUCAGCCUCAGCCUUAGCCUUAUCCUCAACCUCAACCUCAGCUUCAGCCUUAUCCUCAGCCUCAGCGUUAUACUGAGCCUCAGCCUUAGCCUCAGCCUCAGCUUCAGCCUCAGCGUUAUCCUUAACCUCAGCCUUAGCCUUAGCCUUAGCCUCAGCCUCAGCCUUAGCCUUAGCCUCAGCCUCAGCCUCAGCCUUAGCCUUAGCCUUAGCCUCAGCCUCAGCCUUAGCCUUAGCCUCAGCCUCAGCCUCAGCCUUAGCCUUAGCCUUAGCCUUAGCCUUAUCCUCAGCCUCAGCCUUAGCCUCAGCCUCAGCCUCAGCCUCAGCCUCAGCUUCAGCCUUAUCCUCAGCCUCAGCGUUAUACUGAGCCUCAGCCUUAGCCUCAGCCUCAGCUUCAGCCUCAGCGUUAUCCCUAACCUCAGCCUUAGCCUCAGCCUUAGCCUUAGCCUCAGCCUCAGCCUUAGCCUCAGCCUCAGCCUCAGCCUCAGCCUUAGCCUUAUCCUCAGCCUUAGCCUUAUCCUCAGCCUUAGCCUUAUCCUCAGCCUUAGCCUUAGCCUCAGCCUCAGCCUUAGCCUCAGCCUCAGCCUUAGCCUCAGCCUCAGCCUCAGCCUCAGCAGCGUGGAGGCCUCAGGUCACAGCCAGACCCGGACAAACACCAGCAGCAGAGUUCAGCGUUAGUGACGUCAGGCUGUGACAGAUGAAGGGAGGAAUUACGGCUCAAAUUAAAGAGCUCCAACUGCAGCUUCACCCGGCGCCGAUGUUUCUGUCUACAAACCCUGCUGCCUUUCAAGGAAGGACCUUGAAAACAUGGGUGUCUUCAAAGGCCUUUUUCAGAGACACAAGGUCUCUCUCUGCCACGGGUUUUGUGCUGUGGAGAAAAGCAGUAAUGGGAGAGGGAAUGCUUCAGCUUCUCCUUUCAAAGAAAGUCACAUAUUUCUAAAUGAAAGGCCUUUGGCAACAAGGCUGCAAUCAUGUUGCUCUGAAAAGGCUGUCUGCCCUUUGGCCUCAGGUAUCUCUUAUAGACGCGCAGGACGAGGAAGGAGCCGACAAAUGAGAAAAAGCUCUGCUGGCUCCUCUUCAUUCCCCGCCUGCUCCUUCCUCUGCUCCUUCUCCUUCAGCGAAUCCGUCCAUUAUCCAUCUAAUCACCCAUCGCACAUAUUUGAGCAGGAGUUAGCGGCUAAUGCCGGAGCAUUGUUUCCCACGCUGCACAUCCAGGGGUUAACAGCAGCGUAGGAGUAGUUUCGAUCCGUCAGGCUGCAGGCUGCGGUCCCACAGGUGGCGCUGUGCAACAAGCCAGCGGAACCGGAACCAGAAGCAUGCGUGUUAAAGGGCCCAUAUCAUGCAAAAUCCACUUUUUAGACAUUUUGGAGCGUCCCUAUGACUCUAUGGGUCACAUAUACACACACUGAGCACGGUAGAAAUGCAUUUCCUGCUUUUUUCACAUUUUGAAAACGUAAAUUUUCUCAUCCAAUGAAAACAGCCACGACCUACUCUGAGGCCGUUCCCCGGGUUUCGUCAUACUGGUUGAAAGUUCUCCUUGCAAAUCCUGAACCACCACUCCCACAAUGAUCCCGAACCAAAACUGGACUUCCGCCAUUUCCCCCCUCUCACUCACCGUGAACAGACCAGCACGGCAGCGCCCAAGUCCUCCCAUAGAAAUAGUUCGGUUCUUGGGUGUUCUACCAACACCAAAGUCUAUUCACUUUAACAAGGGAUCAACAAGUGAGGAUUUGUGGGUCACUUUUAUUUUUAACGGACCGGUGCCAGAAACACUGCCUCAGCAUUUAUACGUAUGUGCAUUUCAAACGAGGGUGCGUACAAUGCUGGAUUUGUUUCACGGCUCCUGUUGGAAAAAAAGGACCUAUUCCUACAGUCCGUCAUCCACUCACUGAAGUAAGUACAUGCUUGAUAUUUAUAAUGUUUUAAAAUGUUAGUUUGUCCGUUUAAAAUAUAGUAACCUAUGUGUGAGUCAAGUUACUAGCUAGCUAUGCUAACGGCUACAGCCAGUCGACCGAGCCUUUGUCCCCUUCAAAUGUGCUCAUGUGGGCUCCUGCAGCCACACCUGUGUGGAGAAAAGCUAAUGAUUAUCGUAACGGCGUCGAGCGGCUACAGGCAGGGAGCGGUGGGUCUAGCGUCUGUCCUUUUUCUGUAAUCGCAUACACCUGCGGGGAACAGCUGAUCGUUAUCGCCCUUCCAGCGGCGACAGACAGGAAGCGGUGGAUCUAGCUCGCUGUAGUAAGUUUGUGCUUGAUACUUGUGAUAUCUAAAUAUGUUAGUUGGGUCUGUUUAAAAUGCAGUUACCCACAUGUGAGACAAGCUAAUCGCUAGCAUCGCUAACGGCUACAGUGAGUCAACUGAGCCUUUGUCCCUUUCAAAUGUGCUACUCUGAGUUGGGCGCAAUCACACACCUGUGUGGGGAACAGCUAAUAGCGAUGGGCCUUCGAUCGGCGACAGGCAGGAAGCGGUGGAUCGAGCUUUUGUCCUGUUGACGUGCUGCCGCUCCUGUUUGUGUUGCGUUAGCCGUUAGCAUGUCUUUAGGCCUUUGCACUUUAGAGCGACAGCUGGUCGAUCGCUACAAAAAGAACCUGCAGAUGAACACGGCUAUGUUUGUUAUUAACCCGUCCUGUCCAGCCUAAAUCAACUUGUGAUUUGGGGUUAUGUCAUUGUUCUAUCAACAACAUGAUUAGUUGGAAUGAUUACUGUGUUGUGUUUCAAGCUUAGUUGCUAAUUAGUCACAUCUCUACAAUACCUGCUGCUUAUCUGGUCAGUUACCGAU